GAUUGGCAAGAAUGAUGAUUCAAUUAGAUGUGUGAAAGGAGCAAUUCUUGAUGAACAUAAAACUUUUGAGGCAUAAUUAGUCUGACUUGCCAAUU
This is a non-coding RNA of Spinacia oleracea (spinach), 95 nucleotides long. The record is from Rfam. NCBI's taxonomy places the organism in Eukaryota, Viridiplantae, Streptophyta, Magnoliopsida, Caryophyllales, Amaranthaceae.